AUGGCCUCAAGCUCCGCCGCCGCCGCUGCCGCACCAGCCCUCAUCCCCAUCGUUGAUCGCCUCCAUCGCUCCAACUUCCUGGUGUGGCGUGCUCAAGCGGUUGCUGCCAUCCGUGGUGCCCAGCUCAUCUCCUUCAUCAACCCAAAGAGAGAGGAAUCAACGCCCAAGUUCCUGGACAAGGAUGGCAAGCCCACCGAUGUUCCCAACCCGGUGUAUGAGAUCGCCAAGGCUCAGAAUUCACAGGUUUUGAGUUUUCUGUUCAAUUCAGUCUCACCUAUUGUGAUGAUCCAGAUUGCCCACUGUGCCCUGGCAUCGGCAGCAUGGACUGCCAUCACGGAGAUGUUCAUCUCCCAAACCCAGGCGCACAUGGUGAACAUGAGGAUUGCCCUGUCGACAACCAAGAAGGGGACCUCAAUGGUGGUCGAGUACAUCGGCCGCAUGAAGGUGCUCGAAGACGAGCUGGCGUCUGUUGGGAAGCCCCCCACCGAUGAUGACAUGGUGUCAUACAUCCUCGUCGGCCUUGACUUCGACUACAUGGGCUUUGUCUCCUUCCUGUGCGCCAGGGCCGAGCCGAUCAAGGUGAACGAGCUCUAUUCCUUCCUCGCCGGCUUCGAGAACAUGCACGCUAUGUUCGAUGGCGGGCAUCAAUCCUCUCACUCCUCUGCCAACACCGUCUCCCAUGGCGGCGGUCGUGGCGGAUGA
Molecule: ribosomal RNA, 702 nt
Filed under: Triticum aestivum (bread wheat)
Lineage: Eukaryota; Viridiplantae; Streptophyta; Magnoliopsida; Poales; Poaceae
Description: partial small subunit ribosomal RNA
Source: RNAcentral